RNAcentral lists this long non-coding RNA (419 nucleotides) under Mytilus galloprovincialis (Mediterranean mussel). Lineage: Eukaryota; Metazoa; Mollusca; Bivalvia; Mytilida; Mytilidae. The record is from RNAcentral.
CAAAUAUUAUGUACAGGUAGCUAAACAAGGUGUAUAGAUGUGAACAAAUUUAAUGUGAAACUAGUGUACAUUACAUUAAACCAAAUGUAAUAAAAUUGAAAAUGGAAAUGGGGAAUUUGUCAAAGAGACAACAACCCGACCACACAUGUUUACUGUACAUAGCGUUUGGUGUGAACACGGUCUUAGUUUACAAGUCAUCAUCAUUACAAAUGUGUCUCUAACCAACACAAACAAUUUCAAUAUUUACUGUACAUGCAGUUUUACAAUUUGCUAUUUGUUGACUGCAACUAAAGUCGCCAAAAUCUAGACAUAACAAUCCUUCUUUGAGGAACGAAUUUAUAUAAAUUCUUAUUGUUUCCAAAUCGCUCUGUAUUUCUCAUGUUUCUUUUGUAUGAUUGAAACUUGUGCACUUUUGAACC